Molecule: ribosomal RNA, 253 nt
Filed under: uncultured bacterium
Lineage: Bacteria
Description: partial 16S ribosomal RNA
Rfam family: Bacterial small subunit ribosomal RNA
Source: RNAcentral
UACGGAGGGGGCUAGCGUUGUUCGGAAUUACUGGGCGUAAAGCGCGCGUAGGCGGCUUUGUAAGUUAGAGGUGAAAGCCCAGGGCUCAACCCUGGAAUUGCCUUUAAGACUGCAUCGCUUGAACAUCGGAGAGGUAAGUGGAAUUCCGAGUGUAGAGGUGAAAUUCGUAGAUAUUCGGAAGAACACCAGUGGCGAAGGCGGCUCACUGGCCCGGUACUGACGCUGAAAUACGAAAGCGUGGGGAGCAAACAGG